Molecule: long non-coding RNA, 542 nt
Organism: Zophobas morio
Lineage: Eukaryota; Metazoa; Arthropoda; Insecta; Coleoptera; Tenebrionidae
Exons: 3
Source: RefSeq, a predicted model, not a curated record
CACAAUAGCUUUCUGUAACUUGAGCAACAUGGAGUACGAUUAUCGUGUUUUCGAGCCAUCACCGGCUUUGACCCAAGCAUUAAGAGAACUGCAAAUUCUUCAAACAAAAAGAAGGAAAAUGGCUGAAGUAGUUACCAGAAUAAUUGGAGAUGGUGAAAUAACCAUAGAGUAUCCAAACGUAGUAAAAACAUUUACAGGAGCUGUGACUAUCGUAAAAUCACAGGAUUCAUGUCAAUUUGAAGUACGUUCCAACGGCGUAACAGAUGUGGUGGUUAAAUGGGCAGAAGUGGUAUGUUGUAAUGUAUUCGAAAAGACAAUUAGUUUACAAUUCAACACAGACUAUUUCUGGGAAAAAUGUAUUGUCAAAUUUUUUGAAAAAGUCACAGGUUGAUCUUUUUAUAUCCUUACUACCAGCCAUUAAAAAACCUGCGUCCAGAUACAGUGAUUCAACUGCUAGUUCCGACAUUGAUUAUAACGAUUCGGGCAACGAGAAAACCCACCUAUUUUCCCAAGAUAACUUGUAUAACCCACAAACUUCCGAU